UUCCUUUUUUGUGCUCACCAAUGAAGCCAUUCCAUGUGGCAGAGAACGGCAAGACCACCAGGACUCUAAUGGCCGCAAGAGAAGUAGCAGACGACGACCGUGUGUGUGUGUGUGAAGGUCAUGGGGGCCGGACGAGGCCACGCAUGACGCCUACAGAGAGUCGUCCUCCUCCUCCCCAGGAGCUCCUCCCAUGGCUUGCUUCUCGGCUGGGAUUGCCUUCGCCGCUACCAGUCUCUCUCGCGCACCCGUCGUCUCUUCUUCCUUGAUGGGCAGCAGGACUCCCAUGUCCACUGCGACCGCCUCAGCCACCCGUCUGCUCAUCUUGAGCUGUGAAAAGAGAGACUUCUAGUGGCCUCUAGUCCUGCAACUCCGUUCCUCUUCUCUCUUCUCCCUUUGUUUCUUAUGGUUGUUGAGUUCAGUUGCAAUGCUGAGAACAUAGAUGUGUCCAAGGCACUUGAUGAAAUGUGUCAAAGAGAACAAACUCUCUUCGAAUACGGUUAGCCAUUCCGUAGAGAACAAUACAGAUCGAGCUAUCUAAAUGAUAGUAAGAAUUGUGGAGCAGUAUCACAUUACUUUGCUAGAUCUGUUGUGAUACAGAGGAAUUAAUCUGUUUGGUUAUAGCAUGGCAGAUUGUCAAUUUGAAGUCUGAGAAUAGGAUCAAACCAGAAUACUUUUUCCCCAACUCUGUUAGCUAUGUUUCAGUUCUUAGCCAAUUGAAACAGUGAAAGUUGUAAGUAAACGACAAUUAGUCUCUUCAUCUGGAAUAAAUAACAUCUGAGAGGAGGAUCGCCAUACCAUCAUCUUCCUGACUCGUAGAUCUACUUGCAGUUACUACCUAGCAUUUUCCGACAUUCCACAGGAAUAUAGUACAGAGUUGAUGAUUUCAGUAUGUGUUGUUUCACUGCCAGGCAGCUAGGGUUUUGGGUCCUCCGUCAAAAUUUGAAGCCUUAAAGCUCAAAGUAGUUUUCAUGGGGGAAGAAAUGGAGAAGCAGAUUCCGAGCACCAUUCCAAGAGUUUACACCCUCACACACUGUGACUUCACAGCUAAUCUAACCUUAGCUGUCUCCAAUGGUAUUCAUAGUCAAAAGCUAUUUGAUGCCUUGCAUUACACUAACGACCGAUGGAAGCUUUCAUCAAAUAUCACGGUUGGACUGGCAAACCACAUUACAUAGGGAUGAUGUUGUGGCAGAGUGGAAGGAGAUUAAAGAGGAAAUGUCUUUGCAUGUACAUUGCUAUGUAAGUGGGUCUGACAUCCUCCAAGAUCUGGUUGCUGGAUUCCGAUACCAUAGCUUCUCUAAAGAGCUACCAGUGGUUUUAAAAGCUGUAGUACAUCUGUACAUGGAGAUUCUCUCUUAUUUAGGAAGCACCCUGAGCUGCUGGAAACUAAGGUAUGGGCGUACUUCCAUUCAAGAUUGAAGAAGUACAAUCGAGUAGAAUGCUGGGGUCCUUUUAAAGAUGCUACACAGAGAACACUCGAUGAUGGAUAUGAUACUUUUCAAACUUCGGUGUUCAUUAGCAUUGGGAAAACAAUCUUACAUUCGCUAGUUGCCUUCCUCCUCUGAGACAGCAGCUAUUGCUACAAAGAAGUCCUCUUCCAGGCUAUAUGAUUUUUAUGAUCUUAUCAUUGAUUCCAUUCAUUCUUCUUCAGACGGACAAGCAAGUGAAGAACGACAGCCUUGCAUGUAAAUGCAGUCAUUGGUUCAUGGAUGAGUUCAACCCAUGACCAUUUAUGUUUUGAUUGUUUCACUUCACUGAAUUAUUGUUAUUCCUGGUUGAUGAGUUCAACCCAUGAACCAUGCAAAUUGUACCAUGAUACACAAAAAGCAAUUUCUUGAGAUUUUGAGUUGGAUACUGCUCAAAACUAAAUACUUGGAUAAUAAAAAUAAUAUUUCCUUAAGUUA
Musa acuminata AAA Group (dessert banana) is the source of this 1901-nucleotide long non-coding RNA. RefSeq lists it as uncharacterized. The record is from RefSeq and is a predicted model, not a curated record. The transcript is spliced from 4 exons. NCBI's taxonomy places the organism in Eukaryota, Viridiplantae, Streptophyta, Magnoliopsida, Zingiberales, Musaceae.